This 264-nucleotide ribosomal RNA is filed under the name uncultured bacterium. Its description in RNAcentral is "partial 16S ribosomal RNA". It matches the Rfam family "Bacterial small subunit ribosomal RNA", at positions 90 to 354 of the family's 1533-position model. The record is from RNAcentral.
ACUGAGCGGCGGACGGGUGAGUAACGCGUGGGCAACCUGCCUUACACAGGGGGAUAACAGUUAGAAAUGACUGCUAAUACCGCAUAAGACCGCAGUACCGCAUGGUACAGCGGUAAAAACUCCGGUGGUGUAAGACGGGCCCGCGUCUGAUUAGGUAGUUGGCGGGGUAACGGCCCACCAAGCCGACGAUCAGUAGCCGACCUGAGAGGGUGACCGGCCACAUUGGGACUGAGACACGGCCCAGACUCCUACGGGAGGCAGCAG